Molecule: long non-coding RNA, 845 nt
Organism: Lepus europaeus (European hare)
Lineage: Eukaryota; Metazoa; Chordata; Mammalia; Lagomorpha; Leporidae
Exons: 3
Source: RefSeq, a predicted model, not a curated record
GGCCGGCGGAGACGCGCGGGUGGCCAGCGAUGGCCGCGAAGGCGGCGAGCAGGGGCCCAGCCCAGGAGGCCGGCUCGAGGUGCUGGGCGAGGGGCGGCGUUCCUUGUCGAGCACUGGCCGUGCGCCUCGCACCUGUCUGCCUCGCUGCAGCUGCCGCCCAGCAAGUAAAAGAGGACAGAUGUGGCGCAGCCGGUUGAACCCCUGUAUCGGAGUACCUGGGAGGGAGUCCCCAGCAACUCUGCACCUCCCAGCCAACUUCCUGCUCGUGGACACCCUGGGAGGCACCAAGUAAUAGCUUAAGCAAUUGGGUCCCCGCCACCCACGUGGGAGACCCGGAUAGAGUCCCAUGCUCCUGGCCUCGGUCUGGACCACCCCAGACUUUGUGAGCAUCCGGAAAGUGAACCAGCUGAUGGAAGAUCUCCUUCCCUCUAGGUCUCCCUCUGCCUAUCAAGCAUUUACGGAGUGAACGAAUGAUUGGAAGAUCUCUGUCUCCACCUUUUAAAUAAAACGAAGAAGCCUGGUGCUGUGGCACAGAGAGUAAAGUCACCGCCUGCAGUGCCAACAUCUCAUAUGGGUACUGGUUCAAGACUCGGCUGCUCCACUUCUGAUCCAGCUCCCCGCUAAUGGUCUGGGAAAAGUAGCAGAAAAUGGCCUGAGUGCUUGGGCCUCUGCUCCCCUAUGAGGAAGACCUGGAUGAAGAUCCUGACUCCCGGCUUUGGCUUGGCCCUGCCCUGGCCAUUGCAGCCAUGUAGGGAGUGGACCAGCAGAUGGAGGGUCUGUCUCUCUCUCUCUGUCUUUCCCUCUCUCUCUGUAAUUCUGACUUUCAAAUAAAUAAAUAUAUAUUU